Molecule: long non-coding RNA, 809 nt
Organism: Cannabis sativa
Lineage: Eukaryota; Viridiplantae; Streptophyta; Magnoliopsida; Rosales; Cannabaceae
Exons: 2
Source: RefSeq, a predicted model, not a curated record
GUGAGUGGCGUGUUGUUGGUGAGUGGAAUGUUGUUUGUGAUGUGCUGUACUUGUUAGUUUCAUUUGAAUUUAUGGGUUUUGUGUUUCUAUAUAUGUACUGUAUGGUUAGAUAUGGUUAUCAGUCAUAUUAUUUUAGCGUUUAUCAGGCAUAUGAAAUGUGACUUUUGAUGGUUUUUUUUUUUGGGUAGGGGCUCAUCUUAGCCUUAAUAUAAAUCCCGACCCUCUUGAUUCUUCUCCAACCCAUGAUUUCAUUUUAUCAUUUGUAAUAAUUACUUAUUAAUUAAGCGAUCCCACGAAUGCAUUUAAAGAGGGUAAUUCUAUCUCUUUCUCUUUGAAUCGAUUGAAUCGAAUCCACUACUCCAUUAUCUCUAGGCUAUUCCUCCAUCAUCUAGUUUAAAAUGAUUGAGGGACCCUGAUUUUGAACCAAAACUUUUAGCCUUAAUGGGUAAAUUUUUCAUAAUAUCACCAUUAACAAGCUAAGAUAAAGCUUCAUACUUGACAAUCAAUUCGUGAAGCGCCAAGCUACAGUUUUUCUUGUCAAGGUUAGAAGAAAGAGAAUUCAAGAUUUGGUAAGCUUAAACACAAAAUCAAAGCUUCAAGAGGCAAAAGAAGUUAUUUUUCAUAAUUUCUUUACGAUCCAUGAUUGUUUUUGAUUUGUAAUAAUUUUUAUAGGUAGUUUAGAAUGUGUAAUAUUAAGACUAGAGCUCUGAUCAUGCAUGGAUGCUGCUUUUGAGUUUCAUUUAUUUUGUUGGAAUUGUAAAAAUCUGUUCUUGGAUCUGACAUCCAAUGGGUUAGAUUCUAGCAUUACU